Molecule: transfer RNA, 69 nt
Filed under: Rattus norvegicus (Norway rat)
Lineage: Eukaryota; Metazoa; Chordata; Mammalia; Rodentia; Muridae
Rfam family: tRNA
About the family: Transfer RNA (tRNA) molecules are approximately 80 nucleotides in length. Their secondary structure includes four short double-helical elements and three loops (D, anti-codon, and T loops).
Source: Rfam by way of RNAcentral
GGGGUUUUAGCUCAGUGGUAGAGCACUUGCCUAGCAAGCGCAAGGCCCUGGGUUCAGUCCCCAGCUCCG